This 214-nucleotide long non-coding RNA is filed under the name Elaeis guineensis (African oil palm). RNAcentral describes it as "long non-coding RNA (EGUI_LNC078122)". Lineage: Eukaryota; Viridiplantae; Streptophyta; Magnoliopsida; Arecales; Arecaceae. The record is from RNAcentral.
UGUGCCAAGAAAUACUAAGAAGAAUCUGGGUGUAUCGGGUGUUUCUUGUUGUGUCCAACAUUGUUACCAACUUCAACCUACUGUAGCCACCUCAUCUGGAAUCUAAAUUUAAUUUUAUAAAUUAUGUUCCUUUCUUGCUUCUCUCAAAAUUUUGUAGGAUCUAAUCUUGCUUAAUUUGGAGUCCUGUAGCUUGCCUUUUAGGGGUCCUCACCCC